This 253-nucleotide ribosomal RNA is filed under the name uncultured prokaryote. Its description in RNAcentral is "partial 16S ribosomal RNA". It matches the Rfam family "Bacterial small subunit ribosomal RNA", at positions 524 to 776 of the family's 1533-position model. The record is from RNAcentral.
GACGAACCGGACAAACGUUAUUCGGAAUCACUGGGCUUAAAGGGUGCGUAGGCGGUCCUGUAAGUUGGGUGUGAAAUCCCUCGGCUUAACCGAGGAAUUGCGCUCAAAACUGUAGGACUUGAGGAAGAUAGAGGUGAGCGGAACUUAGGGUGGAGCGGUGAAAUGCGUUGAUAUCCUAAGGAACACCAGAGGCGAAAGCGGCUCACUGGGUCUUUUCUGACGCUGAGGCACGAAAGCUAGGGGAGCGAACGGG